GUAAAAAAAGGGACACAAUCAGGCAAUGAACACAUCAAUUCCUUCUCGGUUGAACCCUCGUAAUUUACAUGGUACAAACUGAAACCAGUGCGCGCUCACAUCCGGACACCCUACAGAUCGAACGGUGUGGCACCGACGCCUCACUUGCCGGGCACGAAGUUGGUGGCGUAGGCCCAGGCGUUGUUGUUGACGGGGUCCGCGAGGUGGUCGGCGAGGUUCUCGAGCGGGCCCUUGCCGGUGACGAUGGCCUGGACGAAGAAGCCGAACAUGGAGAACAUGGCGAGGCGGCCGUUCUUGAGCUCCUUGACCUUGAGCUCGGCGAAGGCCUCGGGGUCGUCGGCGAGGCCGAGCGGGUCGAAGCUGCCGCCGGGGUAGAGCGGGUCGACGACCUCGCCGAGCGGGCCGCCGGCAAUGCGGUAGCCCUCGACGGCGCCCAUGAGCACGACCUGGCAGGCCCAGAUGGCGAGGAUGCUCUGCGCGUGGAUCAGGCUCGGGUUGCCGAGGUAGUCAAGGCCACCCUCGCUGAAGAUCUGGGAACCCGCCUUGAACCAGACGGCCUCGCCGAACUUGACGCCGUUGCGGGCGAGCAGCUCGGGGAAGACACAGCCGAGCGCGCCGAGCAUGGCCCAGCGGGAGUGGAUGACCUCCAGCUCGCGGUUCUUGGCGAAGGUCUCGGGGUCGGCCGAGAGCCCGGCGGUGUCCCAGCCGUAGUCGCCGGGGAACUCGCCGGUUAGGUAGCUCGGGGGCUCGCCGGAGAGCGGGCCGAGGUAGAGCACGCGGUCGGGGCCGUACCAUGGGCUGCCGGAGGCGGCCGGCUUGGGCUUCGCCGCGGUCUUGCGCAUGGUCACGCGGGCCUCGCCGAAGAGGGACGAUGGCACGUUGACAGCCUUGCCGACGAAGGCCGUGGAGGAGAGGGCCAUGGUGCUGGUCGCCAUUGCGCUGCUAUCACCGGUGGUGUCCUGCGGUUUUAGAGUGAGGCUCGAGCUUGCAGAUGGCUUGCGAUGUCUGGAGACGACGAAGGUAUUUAAAGCGAUUGAGGGAAGCGCUGGUGCGUGGCAAUCUAUCUUGAAUGUUGCCAAGAGUUACAAAAAAAUCUGUUGCUCGGAUGCCAUUGGUGCGUCGAGGAU
RNAcentral lists this long non-coding RNA (1127 nucleotides) under Setaria viridis. RNAcentral describes it as "long non-coding RNA (SVIR_LNC002657)". The record is from RNAcentral. Lineage: Eukaryota; Viridiplantae; Streptophyta; Magnoliopsida; Poales; Poaceae.